Molecule: ribosomal RNA, 352 nt
Filed under: uncultured soil bacterium
Lineage: Bacteria
Description: bacterial SSU rRNA
Rfam family: Bacterial small subunit ribosomal RNA
Source: RNAcentral
AGUGGCGACCGGGUGAGUAACACGUGACUAACCUACCCUCUGGCGGGGAAUAACCUCGGGAAACCGGGGCUAAUACCGCAUAACUUCCGUGCAAUCAAAGGAGCGCCGGAGGAGGGGGUCGCGGCUGAUUAGCUAGUUGGCGGGGUAACGGCCCACCAAGGCGAUGAUCAGUAGCCGGCCUGAGAGGGCGCACGGCCACACUGGAACUGAAACACGGUCCAGACUCCUACGGGAGGCAGCAGUGGGGAAUUUUGCGCAAUGGGGGAAACCCUGACGCAGCAACGCCGCGUGGAGGAUGAAGUCCCUUGGGACGUAAACUCCUUUCGACCGGGACGAAUGACGGUACCGGUGG